UGCGAGAAGCCCCUUAAAGCUGCACCGUUCCUACAUUAAGCAUCGCCCGUAACAAUUAUAUAAACCUCACUGAACAGUUGCUUUAAAUGGCCGCAAGGAACAAAAUCAUGCCGGAUGUGGAUCAGAUAUUUUCAUCGUUGUGUUGUUUUGUGAAUUCAAAUAAGAACCAGAAGCAGCUUUGAAGGAAAUAUAGCAAAAUCUGGUACAGUUUAACGUCAGACAUCCUCCCUAAAAUGUGAAGAAUUUAGUACGUGGAGCACUCUCCAAUUAUCUCUCUGAUGUACAGCAAAUUACUGGCCACCCAAAAAACUGAUCGUAAAUAUGUAUUUGAAAAAAAAGAGACCCCUCAGAUUGCGAGGCCAUAAGAUGAACUUUAUUUAAUUUAUACCCAAGUCCAGCUUCUUCGCCUUUAUCUUCCCAGACCCUUGGGAUCGAAGAUGACUUUCUUCCAGUUCAGUGUUGUGUGUGCUGAAUUGAUUAAAUAUCCCGAUACUGCAACUGCCCACCCUGCCAC
Stegostoma tigrinum is the source of this 514-nucleotide long non-coding RNA. RefSeq lists it as uncharacterized. The record is from RefSeq and is a predicted model, not a curated record. Lineage: Eukaryota; Metazoa; Chordata; Chondrichthyes; Orectolobiformes; Stegostomatidae. The transcript is spliced from 3 exons.